CCACAGGUUUCAGGGUGUUAUACAUGGAAAGAAACUUUUGGGCAUGAAGUUUCUGUAAAACAAAAGAAUCAGCCAAGUGUACUGAGUGAUUUCCCUGCAGGAACAUAACCAACAUGCUAACAGGACUGAAGAUAUCGCCAGCUUUCAUCUUGUCUUCCUGAAGAUUUUGCUUAGAGGGAGCUCCUGUGGACUUUAUCUGAUACAUGCAACCAAACACAUGUGUCCGGGAAGUAUAGGAUCAUCAAGGUUGAAUUUGCUGAUCACAUGAUGUCGGAGGUGCUAGAGAAGACAGAGAGGAGGCAACAUUCCGUGUAUCAUUCUGGAUUGCUCCCCCCAUUUUACUAUACAGCAGACUGCAAGCUAAACAACACCAUCGUUUAAGAGGGAUAUAGACAAAAUGGAGCAUCUGCACAGAAGGGUAGUGAAGAUGAUGUGUGGCCUGGAGGCCAAGUCCUAUGAGGAAAGGCUUAAGGGCAUAGAGAAGGGAAAGGUGCACACACACAAUCAGGGAGUUGCUGCUGCAGUAUAUGAACCUGCUUAUGCUGUGUCAGCCCUUUGGCCCAUCCGGUACAGUACUAUUACAUCACAUUGGCAACAGCUUUCUGCCAAGAGUCCAGAGACAGGUGUUUCCUAGCCAUGCUAUAUCUGAAAUGCUUGAAUGAAGAUGCUACAAACUGAACAGGGAUCAUCCACAUUAAAGCAGCCCCUGAGGGACCAGCCUCCUAAUCCCAAGUGAGUUUCACCUUUUCAAUAUUUAUAGCAGGUGCCCUCCCUCUGCAGAAUGGUUUGCAGCCUCCCAGAAGUGAAGGGAGGACAAAGUCCUGGCUAAUUCUACCUCCAUCGGCUGUUCCACCUGCAAUGUCAGAAGCAGUAUGCCUCUGAAUACUAGUUGCCGGGAAUUGCAGGUGCGAGGAGUCCUGCUCCCCCCAGUGCUGCUUGCAGACUUCCCAAAGGCAAUUGGUUGGCCACUGUGACAAUAUCCUGGACUA
Non-coding RNA from Podarcis muralis (Common wall lizard), 989 nucleotides. Lineage: Eukaryota; Metazoa; Chordata; Lepidosauria; Squamata; Lacertidae. The record is from RefSeq and is a predicted model, not a curated record.